RNAcentral lists this ribosomal RNA (477 nucleotides) under uncultured organism. RNAcentral's name for it is "partial 16S ribosomal RNA". It matches the Rfam family "Bacterial small subunit ribosomal RNA", at positions 330 to 798 of the family's 1533-position model. The record is from RNAcentral.
CGUACACUCCUGCGCGAGGCAGCAGUGGGGAAUUUUGGACAAUGGGCGAAAGCCUGAUCCAGCAAUGCCGCGUGUGUGAAGAAGGCCUUCGGGUUGUAAAGCACUUUUGUCCGGAAAGAAAUCCUUGGCUCUAAUACAGUCGGGGGAUGACGGUACCGGAAGAAUAAGCACCGGCUAACUACGUGCCAGCAGCCGCGGUAAUACGUAGGGUGCGAGCGUUAAUCGGAAUUACUGGGCGUAAAGCGUGCGCAGGCGGUUUGCUAAGACCGAUGUGAAAUCCCCGGGCUCAACCUGGGAACUGCAUUGGUGACUGGCAGGCUAGAGUAUGGCAGAGGGGGGUAGAAUUCCACGUGUAGCAGUGAAAUGCGUAGAGAUGUGGAGGAAUACCGAUGGCGAAGGCAGCCCCCUGGGCCAAUACUGACGCUCAUGCACGAAAGCGUGGGGAGCAAACAGGAUUAGAAACCCCAGUAGUCCCAU